This 378-nucleotide ribosomal RNA is filed under the name uncultured organism. RNAcentral's name for it is "partial 16S ribosomal RNA". It matches the Rfam family "Bacterial small subunit ribosomal RNA", at positions 527 to 897 of the family's 1533-position model. The record is from RNAcentral.
GUAGGUGGCAAGCGUUGUCCGGGAAUUAUUGGGGCGUAAAGCGCGCGCAGGCGGUUCUUUAAGUCUGGAUGUGAAAGCCCACGGGCUCAACCGUGGGAGGGUCAUUGGAAACUGGAGAACUUGAGUACAGAAGAGGAAAGCGGAAUUCCACGUGUAGCGGUGAAAUGCGUAGAGAUGUGGAGGAACACCAGUGGCGAAGGCGGCUUUCUGGUCUGUAACUGACGCUGAGGCGCGAAAGCGUGGGGAGCAAACAGGAUUAGAUACCCUGGUAGUCCACGCCGUAAACGAUGAGUGCUAAGUGUUAUGGGGUUUCCGCCCCUUAGUGCUGCAGCUAACGCAUUAAGCACUCCGCCUGGGGAGUACGGCCGCAAAGGCUGA